GGUUUAGGUAAACUGGGACCUGGAAGAAUCCAUUGAAGGGUUUAGGUCAACUGUCUGGGACCUGGAAGAAUCCAUUGAAGGGUUUAGGUAAACUGGGACCUGGAAGAAUCCAUUGAAGGGUUUAGGUCAACUGUCUGGGAGAUAUGAGUAUUGAUGAAAGUGCAUAAUUGGUGUACAUUAAUGUCCUAAAUAGACAAGAUAUUGAGUUUCUUAAACAAAGGUGCAGAUAGAGCCAGGUAAUUAGAGGAGGUGGCUAGUCUUGCACAUUUCUUUUGUAUGAUGAGUAAUUUGUGUAGGUAGAAGGCAUAUCUACUGGCCCAGACAAUAUUACAAUAAAUGAGAUAUGAGUAAAUGAAGCUCUAGUAUAGAGUUAGGAGGCCUGAUGAACCAAACCACUCAUCUAUCUGAUAUCAACACACUUCAUCACUUUACUGCAGACUGAAUGUGAUCUUUCCAGGAUAACUUUUCAUCAAUUAAAACUGAGGAAUCUAGUGGAUGUGACUUGUUCCAUUUCAUUCCAACCAAUUGA
Molecule: non-coding RNA, 529 nt
Organism: Salvelinus sp. IW2-2015
Lineage: Eukaryota; Metazoa; Chordata; Actinopteri; Salmoniformes; Salmonidae
Source: RefSeq, a predicted model, not a curated record